Molecule: ribosomal RNA, 498 nt
Filed under: uncultured bacterium
Lineage: Bacteria
Description: partial 16S ribosomal RNA
Rfam family: Bacterial small subunit ribosomal RNA
Source: RNAcentral
AUUGAACGCUGGCGGCAUGCCUUACACAUGCAAGUCGAACGGUAACAGGUCUUCGGAUGCUGACGAGUGGCGAACGGGUGAGUAAUACAUCGGAACGUGCCUAGUAGUGGGGGAUAACUACUCGAAAGAGUGGCUAACACCGCAUGAGAUCUACGGAUGAAAGCAGGGGAUCGCAAGACCUUGUGCUACUAGAGCGGCCGAUGGCAGAUUAGGUAGUUGGUGGGAUAAAAGCUUACCAAGCCGACGAUCUGUAGCUGGUCUGAGAGGACGAUCAGCCGCACUGGUACUGAGAAACGGCCCAGACUCCUACGGGAGGCAGCAGUGGGGAAUUUUGGACAAUGGGCGCAAGCCUGAUCCAGCAAUGCCGCGUGCAGGAUGAAGGCCUUCGGGUUGUAAACUGCUUUUGUACGGAACGAAAAGCCCCGGGUUAAUACCCUGGGGUCAUGACGGUACCGUAAGAAUAAGCACCGGCUAACUACGUGCCAGCCGCCGCCGUAA